UUGGCAACUUCUCGCUCUAAUCCGCCAUCUUGAACUACCUUAGAAGAAAAUGUGUUGUCUCUUUGCUAUUUUCACUGAACAUUUCCCAAAAUAUUAGAAAAAAAUUCUGAACAAGCUACAUUGAUUCAAUUUUCGUUGUUCGUUUUGUUCUUAUUCGCUGACAUUUGUUUUCCAAUUGCGUGAAAUUUGGUCAUUUCCUUAGUGUUUCGCUGACCGACCUGUGCUGGUAUUGUGAUUAAGAGCUAAUACACAUUUUUCGGACGAUUCUGCUGUGCUGCGUUCCUGCUCCGCCUGUAUAUUGCUCCGCCCGUAUUUUAUAGUGUUGCGUUCCUGUUGCGCCUUUGCAUUAGUGUGUGCGUUGUGAUUUAGACACGUUGAAAUUUUUUUGUAUGCUUCUGCUGUGCUGCGUUCCUGCUCCACCCGUGUAUUAGAUUGCUGCGUUCCUGUUAACAUACAUAUCGUCGCUUAAAGUACAAAACCGCGUAACUGACAUUUGCUGCUAAAAAUUGAACGCUGUUGAGAAGGCAUACA
This is a long non-coding RNA of Rhagoletis pomonella (apple maggot), 531 nucleotides long. RefSeq lists it as uncharacterized. NCBI's taxonomy places the organism in Eukaryota, Metazoa, Arthropoda, Insecta, Diptera, Tephritidae. The transcript has 4 exons. The record is from RefSeq and is a predicted model, not a curated record.